AAUAAAUAUUUCCUUAAUUCUAUCACUACAAUUGUAUCACCACUCACAACUAGUUUAUAUAUAUAAUGAUGGAAAACUAGGGAAUUUGGCCAAUUCAUAUUCAAAUAAAACUACUAAGUCGAAAUCAUACAUAAAAUAAAGUACCGUGUGAAUAGAUACUUCAACUAUUAUGAUUGGGGAAAAUUCAUAAACAAGGAAGUAGAGGCAGAAAAAGAUAUAAACAGUUAUCAUAGUCGGGUGUAAUAACAUCACGAGUAUUCAGAUUUUGGUAAAGAGUUUUUUCUUCAUUUCACAUGCUUGAAUUGUAUUAAAACAUUCAGUAAUUUAGUUUUUUUU
This 336-nucleotide small RNA is filed under the name Arabidopsis thaliana (thale cress). RNAcentral describes it as "ATSL029030". Lineage: Eukaryota; Viridiplantae; Streptophyta; Magnoliopsida; Brassicales; Brassicaceae. The record is from RNAcentral.